Molecule: long non-coding RNA, 749 nt
Organism: Pollicipes pollicipes
Lineage: Eukaryota; Metazoa; Arthropoda; Thecostraca; Pollicipedomorpha; Pollicipedidae
Exons: 2
Source: RefSeq, a predicted model, not a curated record
UACCAAACUUCUAAGACAACACAUCGAUGAUGGACGCCUGGGCCCAAGAGGCUAUGCGCCCUAAACCAACAACAACUGUUCCAUUUUUCAUUUGAGUGCACGGGCUCCCUGCGUUCACGGCCUCCGUCGUGGCUGGCUCUGUCGUCGUGCCUGCAGAUCCCCCGCGGCGUCGUCAGUAACAGCGCCAUGUCACCAGCUCCGAUGUAGUUUCACCGUCUUCGGCGCGUCAUCGUCACCUUCGUGGUAUCACGAUUAAAGGCUGCGUAAACACUGCCAUAUUACCUCUCGACAAAUCUUAGAAUUCUUACGGUCUGCAAAUUCCAGUCUGGUUCGGGCAGCCCGCACGCACAGCGGGACGAGAUGUAGCAGGUGCCGCCUCCUUCGAAAAACUAACUGAUCUUAACCUGCGACACACCACUGGGUAUCCAGCGUUGUUGUUCUGCAGCCAAGUCAUUGUGACGGCACUGGCUCCGAUGCUCUGCAUUAAAAAUCGUUGCAGAGCAUCAGCUGUGCUAUGUAACCGCCUAUUGUCUCAGGUACGAUGCUGGGAGCUUUAGCAUGGCAUAGCGAUCUCCUCCGCCAGGUCAAGUUUGCUGGCAUGUUUCCUGUUCAGAAAAAUGUGGUGGCCCGUGUGCAGUCAGCUUAGAGAUGCAACUUGUGUGUGGUCGUUUAAGUGCACUAUGUUCUGGGCAUGACUAUGCGACAUUCUAUGUGAACCAUGGAGUCACUAAUAAAUGCUGUAACGCGUG